RNAcentral lists this ribosomal RNA (1484 nucleotides) under uncultured bacterium. Its description in RNAcentral is "partial 16S ribosomal RNA". It matches the Rfam family "Bacterial small subunit ribosomal RNA". The record is from RNAcentral.
AGAGUUUGAUCCUGGCUCAGGACGAACGCUGGCGGCGUGCCUAACACAUGCAAGUCGAGCGGAGGUAGACAAGGAGUAAUCUGAGUUUACCUUAGCGGCGGACGGGUGAGUAACGCGUGAGCAACCUGCCUUUCACAGGGGGAUAAGGCGGCGAAAGCCGCUCUAAUACCGCAUGAGACCACGGUGAUGAUAUUACAGGGGUCAAAGGAGCAAUCCGGUGAAAGAUGGGCUCGCGUCCGAUUAGGUAGUUGGUGGGGUAGAGGCUCACCAAGCCAAUGAUCGGUAGCCGGCCUGAGAGGGUGAACGGCCACAUUGGAACUGAGACACGGCCCAGACUCCUACGGGAGGCAGCAGUGGGGAAUAUUGCACAAUGGAGGAAACUCUGAUGCAGCGACGCCGCGUGAAGGAUGAAGUAUUUCGGUAUGUAAACUUCUAUCAGCAGGGAAGAAAAUGACGGUACCUGACUAAGAAGCCCCGGCUAACUACGUGCCAGCAGCCGCGGUAAUACGUAGGGGGCAAGCGUUAUCCGGAUUUACUGGGUGUAAAGGGAGCGUAGACGGCUUUGCAAGCCAGAUGUGAAAGGCAGGGGCUCAACCCCUGGACUGCAUUUGGAACUGCGAGGCUAGAGUGUCGGAGAGGCAAGUGGAAUUCCUAGUGUAGCGGUGAAAUGCGUAGAUAUUAGGAGGAACACCAGUGGCGAAGGCGGCUUGCUGGACGAUGACUGACGUUGAGGCUCGAAAGCGUGGGGAGCAAACAGGAUUAGAUACCCUGGUAGUCCACGCCCUAAACUAUGUCAACUAGGUGUUGGGUGGGUAAAACCAUUUAGUACCGUAGCUAACGCGUGAAGUUGACCGCCUGGGGAGUACGGCCGCAAGGUUAAAACUCAAAGGAAUUGACGGGGACCCGCACAAGCGGUGGAUGAUGUGGAUUAAUUCGAUGCAACGCGAAAAACCUUACCUACCCUUGACAUGCCAGGAACUUGCCAGAGAUGGCUUGGUGCCCGAAAGGGAGCCUGGACACAGGUGCUGCAUGGCUGUCGUCAGCUCGUGUCGUGAGAUGUUGGGUUAAGUCCCGCAACGAGCGCAACCCUUGUCGUUAAUUGCCAUCAUUUGGUUGGGCACUUUAACGAGACUGCCGGUGACAAACCGGAGGAAGGUGGGGAUGACGUCAAGUCCUCAUGGCCCUUAUGGGUAGGGCUUCACACGUCAUACAAUGGUCGGUACAGAGGGUUGCCAAGCCGUGAGGCGGAGCCAAUCCCAGAAAGCCGAUCGUAGUCCGGAUUGCAGGCUGCAACUCGCCUGCAUGAAGUCGGAAUCGCUAGUAAUCGCGGAUCAGCAUGUCGCGGUGAAUACGUUCCCGGGUCUUGUACACACCGCCCGUCACACCAUGGGAGCGGGUUCCGCCAGAAGUGGGUAGCCUAACCGCAAGGAGGGCGCUUACCACGGCGGGGUUCGUGACUGGGGUGAAGUCGUAACAAGGUAACC